Non-coding RNA from Acanthosepion pharaonis, 104 nucleotides. The record is from the annotation of a GenBank genome assembly. NCBI's taxonomy places the organism in Eukaryota, Metazoa, Mollusca, Cephalopoda, Sepiida, Sepiidae.
GCCAGAUUGUGUUGGAAAACUGGUUCUCAUAUGAUCACCAAAGUUAAGCAGUGUCAAGUCUGGUCAGUACCUAGAUAGGCAACCACUUGGGAAUACCUAGUGCU